CCCUUAGAUGUUCUGGGCCGCACGCGCGCUACACUGAUGCAUUCAACAAGCCUAGCCUUGACCGAGAGGUCCGGGUAAUCUUUGAAACUGCAUCGUGAUGGGGCUAGAUUAUUGUAAUUAUUAAUCUUCAACGAGGAAUGCCUAGUAAGCGUGAUUCAUCAAAUCGCGUUGAUUACGUCCCUGCCCUUUGUACACACCGCCCGUCGCUCCUACCGAUUGAAUGUGUUGGUGAGGAGCUCGGAUUGGCAGCAGUUGGUGGUUCGCCACCGGCUAUUGCUGAGAAGUCCUCCAAACCGCCCCAUUUAGAGGAAGGAGAAGUCGUAACA
Molecule: ribosomal RNA, 326 nt
Filed under: uncultured eukaryote
Lineage: Eukaryota
Description: partial 18S ribosomal RNA
Rfam family: Eukaryotic small subunit ribosomal RNA
Source: RNAcentral